This 100-nucleotide microRNA precursor is filed under the name Physcomitrium patens. RNAcentral describes it as "Physcomitrella patens miR160c stem-loop (ppt-MIR160c)". Its record names the gene ppt-MIR160c. The record is from miRBase by way of RNAcentral. Lineage: Eukaryota; Viridiplantae; Streptophyta; Bryopsida; Funariales; Funariaceae.
AUAUUGGAUCCGCCUGGCUCCCUGCAUGCCACUUGCGAAUCUUGCCAAACGUUUUGUCGGGGUUCAUGGCUGGCGUGUGGGGGGUCAGACAGGCCAUACA